UGGAUUGGUGCCUUCGGGAACGCUGAGACAGGUGCUGCAUGGCUGUCGUCAGCUCGUGUUGUGAAAUGUUGGGUUAAGUCCCGNAACGAGCGCAACCCUUAUCCUUUGUUGCCAGCGAUUCGGUCGGGAACUCAAAGGAGACUGCCGGUGAUAAACCGGAGGAAGGUGGGGAUGACGUCAAGUCAUCAUGGCCCUUACGAGUAGGGCUACACACGUGCUACAAUGGCGCAUACAAAGAGAAGCGACCUCGCGAGAGCAAGCGGACCUCAUAAAGUGCGUCGUAGUCCGGAUCGGAGUCUGCAACUCGACUCCGUGAAGUCGGAAUCGCUAGUAAUCGUGGAUCAGAAUGCCACGGUGAAUACGUUCCCGGGCCUUGUACACACCGCCCGUCACACCAUGGGAGUGGGUUGCAAAAGAAGUAGGUAGCUUAACCCUCGGGAGGGCGCUUACCACUUUGUGAUUCAUGACUGGGGUGAAGUCGUAACAAGGUAAGCGUAGCGAG
This 502-nucleotide ribosomal RNA is filed under the name uncultured bacterium. RNAcentral describes it as "bacterial SSU rRNA". It matches the Rfam family "Bacterial small subunit ribosomal RNA", at positions 1007 to 1509 of the family's 1533-position model. The record is from RNAcentral.